UGGGGAAUAUUGCACAAUGGGGGGAAACCCUGAUGCAGCGACGCCGCGUGAAGGAAGAAGUAUCUCGGUAUGUAAACCUUCUAUCAGCAGGGAAGAUAGUGACGGUACCUGACUAAGAAGCCCCGGCUAACUACGUGCCC
Molecule: ribosomal RNA, 140 nt
Filed under: uncultured bacterium
Lineage: Bacteria
Description: partial 16S ribosomal RNA
Rfam family: Bacterial small subunit ribosomal RNA
Source: RNAcentral